This is a long non-coding RNA of Oxyura jamaicensis (ruddy duck), 373 nucleotides long. RefSeq lists it as uncharacterized. The transcript has 3 exons. NCBI's taxonomy places the organism in Eukaryota, Metazoa, Chordata, Aves, Anseriformes, Anatidae. The record is from RefSeq and is a predicted model, not a curated record.
UCCUGGAGGGCGAGGACGCCCACAUCUCUUCCCAGUACUCCUCUGCGAUGUCCUCGCACUCCGGCAGGGAAGGGAUGACGUCCUCCCGCCAGGUCCGCACGAUCGUGGAGGAGGUGCAGGACGGGAAGGUGGUCUCCUCCCGGGAGCAAGUCGCCCUCACCACCCGCUAACGGCGCUGGGGACCCUCGGCCCCAGGCUCAGGCUCGUGGCCGCUGAACCAAGCCCUGGCUGAGGCUCUGUUCGGUGGGGCUGUGCCGCAGGCAGCUUCACCCGGCUGCUUCUGUGCCCUGAUUUACCCUAAUUUUUGCCCAGGUGCUAACGUGCACUCUGUACGCAUUUAAUAAAGCUUUUUUUUUUUUUUUCAUUCAUGCAA